Molecule: small nucleolar RNA, 137 nt
Organism: Tachyglossus aculeatus (Australian echidna)
Lineage: Eukaryota; Metazoa; Chordata; Mammalia; Monotremata; Tachyglossidae
Source: RefSeq, a predicted model, not a curated record
CCCCUCGCAGGGUCAUGCCUGGAGAGUUUCCAGUACUCUACCAGUCUCGAUUACCAGAGGGAGAUCAAGCAGAGGCCUACCCGUUCCAUUCCUAGCUUGGGCCGUGGCUAGCGAGUGGAAUGGAAUCUGUUACAAGU